Molecule: long non-coding RNA, 725 nt
Organism: Myotis myotis
Lineage: Eukaryota; Metazoa; Chordata; Mammalia; Chiroptera; Vespertilionidae
Exons: 2
Source: RefSeq, a predicted model, not a curated record
CGGUCGGGGUGCUCACACUCGGGCGGCCCCCAGCGGGUCGCCUGCGGCCGUCACGGUGGCGGAAUGAAAGCAGAAACGCCGCCCCCGGCCACACCUCCGCUCCUCAGGGCCGCCCCGUCAGCUCCGUCAGCUCCGAGAGGAAGGCGGUUCUCGCGAGGAAAAGGCGAGGAAAUAACGGUGCGCCACGUGGGAAACGGGGAAUGAGCGCUGACUGCAGAGCACCCCUCCGCCUCCCCGGGCAGUGCCCUUAGGAAGCUGUCACCUUGGAAGGCCGGCUGGACAGCGGCCGGAAGCAACGGCGCAGGGAGCGGCGGUCCGCGCCAUUGGCUUCACCGCCUCCUGCUUUCAGCGCCCGCGCCCGCAGGGACGCCUCGGAGUCCAUGGCGCGUUUGCUCACCCUGAGCAUCGAUUGCAUCAGGGACCCGGCACCUCGCAGCUGGGAGAGGGUGGGCCCUGGAGGGAGAGCCCGGGUGGAAAGGUGGUGCUGCUUGCACCCAGGGCUGCUGCUGUCCUUGUCCCCCCUAAUUCCCUUAGGCCCCCGCCUGGGACAUGUCACCCUGCCAGUAACCUGAGCUUUCACCAAAGUUCUCAAAACGUCCACACUGUCGCAGGGAUGGCGAACCUAUGACACACGUGUCAGAGGUGACACGCCAACUCAUUUUUUUUGGUUGAUUUUUCUUUGUUAAAUGGCAUUUAAAUAUAUAAAAUAAAUAUCAAAAAUAUAA